This 826-nucleotide long non-coding RNA is filed under the name Vigna radiata. RNAcentral describes it as "long non-coding RNA (VRAD_LNC017309)". Lineage: Eukaryota; Viridiplantae; Streptophyta; Magnoliopsida; Fabales; Fabaceae. The record is from RNAcentral.
AGUCAUCCAAAAUAGAGGGGAAAUUAAAACGACAAGUAAAUCAGAGUACAAAGGUUCGAGGUUUUGCAAAAUAUGAUAAACUAAAAGAAAUAAAACAACAUGAUCGCCUAAGCACUAGGUGCUGGAUCUUCCUCGGUGUCCAACGCCUGCUCCAGAGGUACAUCAUCACCUACUGCUCACAUCCAAAGGAUUGGAUGAUCAUCGCAAGGGAGGAAGCAAACACACACAACAUACAAGUGCAAGGGUGAGCUAGGUUUCAAACGAACAUACAAAUCAUAGCAAAGUGAUCAAACAUUACUGAAACAUAAUUUCACAUGCAAACAUACAAGUCAUCAUAAUCACAGGCACUUAGUUCAUAAUUUAACCAAUCAAUCAUCUUAUCAUGCGAAGACUCCUAGACACGUCCGGACAUAGAAUGAAUGUAGAGCUGGGGUGGGUUGUGCACUUGUGAUGGCCCUACUGCUUUGCAAAGCCAUUGCCGAGGGGUUCCACCCGACCAUACACAAGGCUAGUCCGUUACCGCAGUAUAGGCCUACAGUGAAAGCGCCUACCCUAGGACCUCCCACUACUCCCACCACACGCGUCGAUCUUCUCUAAGUGAGAAUGAAAGACCGUUGGAGCGUUAGGGAUAACCCCCCAUAUGGAAGCCUCUCACCAUUCAGUCUAUACACUAAUAGAUCUCACCGAGAGAUCAUGAUUUCACAACCGAAUCCAACCACUUUAUUUCCAUAAUACAUCUCUUUGAAUCAAAAUAUACAUCCAAAUUCACCAUAUGUCAUGUACACACCAUACCACAUCAACAAUUAUUAAUUGCAAUAAAAUCAAU